This 81-nucleotide transfer RNA is filed under the name Ceratocystis cacaofunesta. RNAcentral's name for it is "tRNA-Ser". Lineage: Eukaryota; Fungi; Ascomycota; Sordariomycetes; Microascales; Ceratocystidaceae. The record is from RNAcentral.
GAAAAGUUUCCAUAGGUAAGGUAAGGUAUUUGCUAAAUACUGUGUUUUUACACUUAGACGUUCGAUUCGUCUCUUUUCUGG